Long non-coding RNA from Mauremys reevesii (Reeves's turtle), 583 nucleotides. RefSeq lists it as uncharacterized. NCBI's taxonomy places the organism in Eukaryota, Metazoa, Chordata, Testudines, Geoemydidae. The transcript has 3 exons. The record is from RefSeq and is a predicted model, not a curated record.
UAAAUUGCAUGAGGGAGAUUGUGUUUCAGUGACACAUGAACAGCUAAAGUGCUCCAAAAAACCCAACAGCUUAACCUCAGGAAAAGGAGGAAAGUCAUUGUGCAUGGAAAAAGGAGUGGAAAUAUUAAAAGGGACAGAUCCUCAGUUAAUGACUGGAGAUGGCCAGCAGUAUAUUCUUCUGACACUGCAAUGUGGAACUUAAAGAGUUUUGGUCAAAAAGUUUCAUUCAGCUCCACUUACAACUCCCAUGAAGACAAGAGGUUGCAAGGUUCAACUGGGGACAGGAUGUGGCCUGCAGAAAUCUAUAUUAGUGUUAGUGACACAUGAACCAGUUAGAACCCAGCUUGGUUUUCAGAUACUGGGAACCUUAAAACAAGAGAACCAACAACACAGAGAGAGAGAAAACAGGCUGCUCUCUAAGGCAGCAAGGUACAACUCACCCCACCUUGUUCUAGGCUGGCUCUUGCAGAAUGACUGCUGCUAGAUCCUGGUCACACACUUCUCUACAGAGCCCCUCCCCUGCAAGCAGGACCAGGAAAACAUCUGAAAAUUUAAAGUAAUAGUUUACAGUUUUAACACAGUU